RNAcentral lists this ribosomal RNA (1224 nucleotides) under metagenome. RNAcentral describes it as "SSU rRNA". It matches the Rfam family "Eukaryotic small subunit ribosomal RNA", at positions 493 to 1774 of the family's 1831-position model. The record is from RNAcentral.
CUCAUGGUUUCACGGUAUUGCAAUGAAAACAAUUUAAAACCCUUAGCGAGAAUCAAGUGGAGGACAAGUCUGGUGCCAGCACCCGCGGUAAUUCCAGCUCCACUAGCGUAUAUUAAAGUUGUUGCAGUUAAAAAGCUCGUAGUUGAACCUCUGUCUGGGGCUAGUUUUGGCUUUGGUCAGGCUAGUUCUAGGCAUCCGCCUACAAGACUUAGAGGGCAUUCAGUUGUUCACUAGGAGGAGUAGGCAUUUUACUUUGAAAAAAUUAGAGUGUUUAAGGCAGGCAAUCGCCCGCAUAUAUUAGCAUGGAAUAAUAGAAUAGGACACUUUUCCAUUUCGUUGGUUAUUGGAAUCGUGUAAUGAUUAAUAGGGACAGUUGUGGGCAUUUGUAUUUAAUUGUCAGAGGUGAAAUUCUUGGAUUUAUUAAAGACAAACUAACGCGAAAGCAUUUGCCAAGGAUGUUUUCAUUAAUCAAGAACGAAAGUUAGGGGAUCAAAGACGAUCAGAUACCGUCCUAGUCUUAACUAUAAACUAUUCCGACUCAAUGUUUGACUGGCUUAUAUAACCAGUUGAGCGUUGUAUGAGAAAUCAAAGUCUUUAGGUUCUGGGGGGAGUAUGGUUGCAAAGCUGAAACUUAAAGGAAUUGACGGAAGAGCACAACCAGGAGUGGAUUCUGCGGCUUAAUUUGACUCAACACGGGGAAACUUACCAGGUUAAAACAAUAGUGGGAUUGACAGUUUGAGAGCGCUUUCUUGAUUGGUUGGGUGGUGGUGCAUGGCCGUUCUUAGUUGGUGGAGUGAUUUGUCUGCUUAAUUGCGUUAACGGACGAGACCUUAACCUGCUUACUAGACUGGCGAUCAUCAAUCGUUAGCUCUUCUUAGAGGGACUUUGGUUGUUUUAACUCCAAGGAAGUUUGAGGCAAUAACAGGUCUGUGAUGCCCUUAGAUAUCCUGGGCCGCACGCGUCAUACAAUGACUAGUUCAGAAAGUUUUCUCCUGACCCGAAAGGGGAUGGGUAAUCUUGAUAAUACUAGUCGUGUUAGGGAUCGAUCUUUGCAAUUAUAGAUCUUGAACGAGGAAUUCCUAGUAAGUGCGGUUCAUCAGACCGUACUGAUUACGUCCCUGCUCUUUGUACACACCGCCCGUCGCUUCUACCGAGUGGGUGGUCCGGUGAGAUAAUUGAACUUCGCAGGUAACUGAGAGGAAAGAUUAUCAAACCUAUCCACCU